This 888-nucleotide long non-coding RNA is filed under the name Equus caballus (horse). RNAcentral's name for it is "lncRNA (ENSECAG00000054661.1)". Lineage: Eukaryota; Metazoa; Chordata; Mammalia; Perissodactyla; Equidae. The record is from RNAcentral.
UUCGUGGGGGUAAAUAUAAAGAAAAAAUUGGCAUAUGUUUUCUGGGAAAUAGGUUAAGAUUGAUUUUCAUUCAGCAAAUACUUAUCAAGCUUCUUCUAUGAUAUCAAGAACUAUGCUAUGCACUGGGGAAUAAAAAUUGAAAAAGACGGCGCUUGUGUGCAAGUAGUGCAGUCUAGUGGCGUGGCGGGGAUACACAAGUUGUAUAUCUAUGCUGAUUUUUUAAACUCUUACAAACUUUUUUUAUUUUGAGGAAGAUUAGCCCUGAGCUAACAUCUGCCGCCAAUCCUCCUCUUUUUGCUGAGGAAGAUUGGCCCUCAGCUAACAUCCGUGCCCAUUUUCCUCUAUUGUAUGUGGGAUGCCUCCCACAGCAUGGCUUGAAUCAGCUUAUCAAGUGGACAAUACACCAAAACAUCUCUCCAUUUAUCCACGUCUUCUUUUAUGACCCUCAGCAAAGUUUUGUAACUUCUUUGAAGGUUAGCUCUUGCACAUUUAUUUUCAUAUUCAUUCUUUGGCAUUUUACAGUAUUUGUGGUUGAUUUUAAAUGGGAUCUUUUGCCAUGGACCUUUCAAAUUUGUUCUUGCUGGUUUAUAGGAAAGUAUCUCAUAAUUUAUUGAAUACCUGAUAGUUUUUCAGUUGAUUGUUUAGUAUGACAAAUAAAAAUGGCAAAUAAUAGGAUAUGUUGGGGUAUAUGAGGAAGGCAUUUUGUGUAAACCUAAUUCGGCCUGACCUUGUCUUUCCAAAAGGGCCUGACUGUGGCUGUUGAGCAUGCAUUGUAUAUCUGCUUUAGAGAUUCCCUAUGGCAAGAGCAAAGGCCCUUGAGAUAAAGGUGCAACUUCCCUCCCCCUCCCAACGUUGGCAUUUCUUUAAGGAUUAAGCAUCUUUCCUUAG